This 659-nucleotide long non-coding RNA is filed under the name Felis catus (domestic cat). RNAcentral describes it as "lncRNA (ENSFCAG00000045103.2)". Lineage: Eukaryota; Metazoa; Chordata; Mammalia; Carnivora; Felidae. The record is from RNAcentral.
GUUAAAUUCAGCUAGAAUGAAAGCUUAUUCAAAGUACUUCGUCCAGUGGCAGGUAAUAAUACAGAUUCUAUAGAGGAAAGUGAGUAUCUACAAAUGUGUUUUGCCAGAGAUAGAAUCCAGUGUCUGAAUAAUAUAUUUUCUUCUAUUUCCGUGUGGAUUUUCACUUUUAAGACGUGUUUUCCAUGUGUUGCUUUAUGGAAUCCCGAAACCAUGAGAUAGAGGUGACAGUGGAGUUUUGGAUGUACAUUUUUAUAAAGACGGAGAUAAUCCAGUGGAUCCUAGAAUUACGGUCCUGUCCUCUACGUCAUGGAUCCAUCGUAAAUGUUAAAACCGAGCCAUAGGCUGAAUUGUCAUAAUCGAACCCUGACUGAAAACCGCCUCUGAAGACUGUUUGGGGAGUUGUCUUAGCUAACCUGCUAACACAACUCGAGACGUCCUGGAGAGAUCUAGCGAUCUAGCGUGCAGCCCUCUCGGUCUAAUUAGAUGUCUGUCAAGUGCAGGCUUGUUGCUAUUAGCUUUGAAACACUGGAACAGUGGUUAGUAGUUUGCAUGGUUUGAAAGUUUCAUAGUUAUCAUCAGCAUAGUUUAGAGACAAAAUGGUAACAGGAAAGAAAGAAAUGAAAAGUGGAAGACGGGGUGGGAAACAGUAACAGGCAGGC